GCGGCCCUCAGCAGCGACCAAAGUUGGGGAAGCCGGCGGCCGUUUCCUCAAUUAUUCAUUCAUGACACCAGAAGCAGAAUGGAGGGCUUAGGAUACCACACGGAGAGGGAUGAAGGAACCUUGGGAAUGGCUGAAGGAGUGGCAGUGAAGGAGGGAGGCCUGGAGGUGAAAGAUAUGCAGAAAAUUACUUUAAUAUUGAAAGCUUCUCUACUCAGACCAUCCUUUGCGGAAUAUUUACACCGAGGUUUCAAGAUCCGUGUCUGAACACCAUCUAGCAGGCAAGCCAGCUGUCGGUUACUGAGACACCAAUGUCAACACCAUCACCACUACCACCACCAACUCCAACGUUAGUAGCACUGUUCUGAUCCCUGUGUAAUCGCCACGGCCACCUGCUGACUCCAC
Long non-coding RNA from Scylla paramamosain (green mud crab), 402 nucleotides. RefSeq lists it as uncharacterized. The record is from RefSeq and is a predicted model, not a curated record. Lineage: Eukaryota; Metazoa; Arthropoda; Malacostraca; Decapoda; Portunidae. The transcript is spliced from 3 exons.